Camelus dromedarius (Arabian camel) is the source of this 4118-nucleotide long non-coding RNA. RefSeq lists it as uncharacterized. Lineage: Eukaryota; Metazoa; Chordata; Mammalia; Artiodactyla; Camelidae. The record is from RefSeq and is a predicted model, not a curated record. The transcript is spliced from 4 exons.
CCCUCGCCUCUCGGUGCCCAGGCCUGGGGGGUAGUGAACAGUCCUCCGGCCGAGGCGGGCGUGGGGGGAGGCCUCUGUUUUAGGACCACGGUUCUGGUUACACCUGACGGGACUGCAGCUCGAUCCCCACGGAGCCUUCUCGCACCUCGUCUGCUUCCACCAGUGACGGUCCCGGCUGACGGAGCUUGCACACCGCGGAUUACGGUGAAAUGAGAAGCAAGCCCAGCAGCUGAAAUCGAGGCUUGAGGAGAGAGAAGAAUCAGUAGAUACCCGUCUUUGGAGAAUGGGGGAGUGAGCUGGCUGAGGACACCGUCUCCAGUCAUGUACAUCAUGCUGUCUGGCGGGGACAGAGUGCGGGAAGGCGAGCGGGAGAGAAGGAGGCCAGGAGUGUGGCACUAAUCCGUGUCCCCUACUUGGAAGAAGACAGCAGGUAUGGGGAAGCAGGUUUCCCUCCUAACAGUCAUGAACUGAAAGAAAGGUCUUGGACCAGAGAAGUCAUGCAUUCCCAUGCCUGGACCGUGAGGCUCCCUUCGGCCCUGAAGCAAGCACCGGCUGGGUGAGAGGGAGUGAGAAAUUUGAGGGUAUAAACAAGGAGGUGAUUACCACGUUGGCCUGUGUAACCCGAGCUAGCCACCAAGAGAAGUGCGCAGUGAAAAGGAGGCAGAACCAACCAGCUGGAGGCCCGAGUGAGGUCAAAGAGCGGCUGGCUGUGAGGGAAUGUGUUGGAAAGCUCGCGGCCUUUCGCAUAACCGGAGAAUCACUACUAUGAGCUUCUUGAGCCUUUUUUGCUGGAAUUGAACAUGCCCAGUUACUUCACGUCCUCACGUAAGCACGUUUCACAUGUGUUUAUAAACGGCCUGAUCGCUUUGUGCUGCGCGUGCUCCAGCUUGUUCCUUUGGAAGGGCGGCGCCUGGAGGCCUCGCAACCACAAAUGUUUAUGGAGAGCUUCUGCGAGGUCAGCUCUGGGCUACAGCAGGAGACAAAGCCUUCGUGGAGUGUGCCGUGUCAGAUCAGAAGAAGGUCCAUUCCUUUGGGUUUGUAUUCUUCAUAAGGGAGAGACCUCAGCUUACCUAGAGACCUGAACUUGUCUACUGGAGUUUCUUCUUCUCCCCUCUAGUUGUAACAGAGGAAUUGUUCCUUAUCCCUUCAAAAGCCAGGCUGUUUCUACUUUGGGCGUCAUUGCCUCUCACCUACUUUCUCUCUCCUGCACCACCCAUCUCUCUCUUUCUCCAUUAGGUGAUUCCCUUCAGCACGUGCAUCUCACCUUCAAAAACCCUUUCCUUGACAUGUAUUCACCUCUCCAGCUACUGCUUUGUGUUCCUUUACAACAAAACAUCUUGAAAAAAAGAAAUUCCUCUACGUGUGGUGCCUCUGAAGCUGGAAGCAGCGUGGAUGUGUUUGGAACGGCUGCGAGUGCCAUGGCAGGGAGCUGAUAAGGGAGGAAGAGCACUUUCCAGGGCGGUCGGCGCUGAGAUCAAAGCCCUCUGCAAAUAUUUUGAUGGGAGGUGGCUGUAUCAUAGCAGAGCAGGCAGUGAUGCCCCUCAGAGCACCUGUGCUGAAUCCUGGUUCUACCAUUCCAUAGCCGAUGUGACCUUGAUCAAGUUAGUUACCUUCUCUGAGCCUUAGUUUCCUCAUCUAUCGAAUGGAAGGAGAGAUACUGCUCUCCUAAGAUUGCUGUGACAAUGAAAUAGAACACAUGAAAGCGUGAGACAAAUGUUAGGAAUUAUUAUCAUACAGUAACAUUUCUCCACUGCAUUUAAAAAGAAGGCAGCUCAUCCCAGCCUGGGCCUGGGUUCUUCCCAAACCAGAGCCUGAGCCAAACGCUUGCAUGCAUGACACCCCUAUUGUCCACUCGGGAAUGCUGUCCUGGAGCAGGACUGGGAAGAGGAGGAGUGAGACAGGGAAAGAGGAGGGAAGGCUGGUACAAGUAUGUGUUGGUCAGGGCUGGGUCUGUCCAGGCUGUGGGUGACUGGUCCUCGAUCUCACACAACUUUCCAAGGAGCCUUAUGAAAUGCAUCUCUGAACAGUCCCUUCAGGGGGACUAAAAGGGGGAGCACGUAUCCAAAGACUUCCAUCUCCGUUGAUCAGGGGUGACCCGCUGGGCACUGACCAGCCCCCAUCUCUUCAGGGCUGCCUACAUGUGAGUGCCAGGUGGACCCCAGGGGAGGAAGUGAAAGUAGAAGUUGCAAGACGUGCAAAGGCCAUGUCAGGCUGUACCUUUGAAACAUACUCAGAAUGGGUUCCUGCGGCAGUGGCUGGAGUUAAGAGGUGGGAUCAGGAGGAUCUGAAAUGGAGCAGAAGAUACAACCCCAUCUGACAGAAGUGAGAGCAAAGAUGAUGAUGACAUAAAUUGGCUUUAGUAUUUACAGCAAGUAUUUUAAUACCAUCUCUUUGUAGAACAAGAGGGUAGACUUUACACAUUAGUUUUCCAUUCUAUUUUUAGAGGAAUGAUGUGUUUCUAUAGAAUUAAGAAAGUCAAUCCCCAAAUGCCCACCUGGCUUUUUAUACCAAAUUACAAUCAGAGGCAGCAUGAUCUAAAUGGAAGCGACCCAGACCAAGACCUUGGAUAAACUGCUUAACUUCACCAGUGAAGCAGGGGAAGGGAUUAUGGGGUAAACUGCUACCACCACCACCACUACUGUUACUACCACUACUGCUUGCUGCUACCACAACCAAUAUUUUCUCCCUGUAUUCUAGUGGGUUUUUUGUAGAGGAGGAUGGGGGAAAAGGGAAAUUUUUCUCUUAUGGGACAGUAAAUUGCUUCUAAUUUUUCACUACUACAGUGCUACAAUGAACAUCUGUAUACAUAUGUGAAUAUUUUUAAGGAGAGAAUCUUGGAAAUAACUGCAUAGGAACAUUUUGACAGGUAUUAUCAAAUAAACAACUUUAAAGGCUAGCAGUGUACACAAUGAUACAUGAUAAUAAUAGUCAACUAUAUAGGCAAACAUCCUCUGACAUAAAUCUUAGCAAUAUUCUCCUAGAACAGUCUACCCAGGCAAUAGAAAUAAAAGCAAAAAGAAACAAACAGGACCUAAUUAAACUUACAAGCUUGUGCACAGCAGAAAAAAACCAUAAGCAAAACAAAACAACCACCUACGAAAUGGGAGAAAAUAUUUGCAAAUAAUGUUACUGACAAAGGUUUAAUUUUCAGAAUAUAUAAACAGCUCAUAUAACUUAAUAACAACAACAACAACAACAAAAAACCAAUCUAAAAAUGUGCCGAAGACAAACAAGCAAUUCUCCAAUGAAGGCAUACAAAUCGCCGAUAGGAACAUGAAAAAAUGCUCAAUAUCGUUAAUUAUCAGAGAAAUGCAAAUCAAGACUACAAUGAGGUAUCAGCUCACACCAGUCAGAAUGGCCAUCAUUAAAAAGUCCACAAAUGAUAAAUGCUGGAGAGGGUGUGGAGAAAAGGGAGCCCUCCUACACUGCUGGUGGGAAUGUCAUUUGGUGCAGCCAUUAUGGAAAACAGUAUGGAGAUUCCUCAAAAAACUAAAAAUAGACUUACCACAUGAUCCAGCAGUCCCACUCCUGGGCAUAUAUCCAGAGGAAAAUCUAAUUUGAAAAGAUAAAUGCACCCCAAAGUUCAUAGCAGCACUACAUACAAUAGCCAAGACAUGGAAACAACCUAAAUGUCCAUCAACAGAUGACUGGAUAAAGAAGAUGUGCUAUCUUUAUACAAUGGAAUACUACUCAGCCAUAAAAAAUAAAAUAAUGCCAUUUACAGCAAUAUGGGUGGUCCUGGAGAUUGUCAUUCUAUGUAAUCCAGAAAAAGAAAGAAAAAUGCUAUAUAUCACUCAUAUGUGGAAUCUAAAAAAAAAAGAAAGAAAAAGGACACUACAUCUACAAAACAGAAACAUACUUGCAGACAUAGUAAACAAUCUUAUGGUUACUGGGUAAUAAGGAGUGGGAAGGGAUAAAUUUGGAAUUUUGAGAUUUGCAAAUGUUAACCACUAUAUAUAAAAAUAGAUAAAAAAACAAAUUUCUUCUAUACAGCACAGAGAACUAUAUAUAAUAUCUUGUGGUAACCUUUAAUGAAAAAGAAUAUGAAAAUGAAGAUAUGUGUGUAUAUAUAUAUAUGCAUGACUGGGACAUUAUUCUGUACACCAGAAGUUGACACA